Molecule: ribosomal RNA, 251 nt
Filed under: uncultured prokaryote
Description: partial 16S rRNA
Rfam family: Bacterial small subunit ribosomal RNA
Source: RNAcentral
ACGUAGGGGGCAAGCGUUGUCCGGAAUGAUUGGGCGUAAAGGGCGCGUAGGCGGCCUGGUAAGUCUGGAGUGAAAGUCCUGCUUUUAAGGUGGGAAUUGCUUUGGAUACUGUCGGGCUUGAGUGCGGGAGAGGUAAGUGGAAUUCCCGGUGGAGCGGUGAAAGGAGUAGAGAUCGGGCGGAAGACCAGUGGCGAAGGCGACAUACUGGACUGUAUCUGACGCUGAGGCGCGAAACUGUGGGCAGCAAACAG